UAUCUCAUGCAGGAGACAGUGGAUUUGA
RNAcentral lists this non-coding RNA (28 nucleotides) under Mus musculus (house mouse). The record is from RNAcentral. Lineage: Eukaryota; Metazoa; Chordata; Mammalia; Rodentia; Muridae.